GAGAGGUUUCUGAUCAUGAGAAUGGGGGAAUUUAGGGCAUUUGGUACUUGCGAGUUGGUCCUAACGUUGAUGAGUUGUUCGUAAUGCUGGUUGUCGGGUGAGGAGUUGUAGUCCGGUGGAGGAGCCUUCGCGACCAUGCUUUUGACAAACGCCCAGGUUUUCGUGGUUGAGCAGCUAGGGUUCAGGCGCCUCCAGAUGGUUUUGUUUGUGACACAGCAUAUACCCCCUUUCUUGGGAUCGCAAGCGUUUUUUGCUCUUCUGGCCA
This is a long non-coding RNA of Daphnia magna, 265 nucleotides long. RefSeq lists it as uncharacterized. The record is from RefSeq and is a predicted model, not a curated record. The transcript has 4 exons. Lineage: Eukaryota; Metazoa; Arthropoda; Branchiopoda; Diplostraca; Daphniidae.